GACGAACGCUGGCGGCGUGCUUAACACAUGCAAGUCGAACGGAAAGGCCCUGCUUUUGUGGGGUGCUCGAGUGGCGAACGGGUGAGUAACACGUGAGUAACCUGCCCUUGACUUUGGGAUAACUUCAGGAAACUGGGGCUAAUACCGGCUAGGAGCUCCUGCUGCAUGGUGGGGGUUGGAAAGUUUCGGCGGUGGGGGAUGGACUCGCGGCUUAUCAGCUUGUUGGUGGGGUAGUGGCUUACCAAGGCGUUGACGGGUAGCCGGCCUGAGAGGGUGACCGGCCACAUUGGGACUGAGAUACGGCCCAGACUCCUACGGGAGGCAGCAGUGGGGAAUAUUGCACAAUGGGCGGAAGCCUGAUGCAGCAACGCCGCGUGCGGGAUGACGGCCUUCGGGUUGUAAACCGCUUUCGCCUGUGACGAAGCGUGAGUGACGGUAAUGGGUAAAGAAGCACCGGCUAACUACGUG
RNAcentral lists this ribosomal RNA (468 nucleotides) under uncultured bacterium. RNAcentral describes it as "partial 16S ribosomal RNA". It matches the Rfam family "Bacterial small subunit ribosomal RNA", at positions 28 to 507 of the family's 1533-position model. The record is from RNAcentral.